This 254-nucleotide ribosomal RNA is filed under the name uncultured bacterium. Its description in RNAcentral is "partial 16S ribosomal RNA". It matches the Rfam family "Bacterial small subunit ribosomal RNA", at positions 524 to 776 of the family's 1533-position model. The record is from RNAcentral.
UACGGGGGGAGCAAGCGUUGUUCGGAUUUACUGGGCGUAAAGGGCGCGUAGGCGGUUUCUGCAAGUCAAUUGUGAAAUCUCCGGGCUUAACUCGGAAAGGUCAACUGAUACUGCAGGGCUAGAGUGCGGAAGGGGCAACUGGAAUUCUCGGUGUAGCGGUGAAAUGCGUAGAUAUCGAGAGGAACACCUGCGGCGAAGGCGGGUUGCUGGGCCGACACUGACGCUGAAGCGCGAAAGCUAGGGGAGCAAACGGG